Molecule: transfer RNA, 57 nt
Filed under: Loxodonta africana (African savanna elephant)
Lineage: Eukaryota; Metazoa; Chordata; Mammalia; Proboscidea; Elephantidae
Rfam family: tRNA
About the family: Transfer RNA (tRNA) molecules are approximately 80 nucleotides in length. Their secondary structure includes four short double-helical elements and three loops (D, anti-codon, and T loops). Further hydrogen bonds mediate the characteristic L-shaped molecular structure. tRNAs have two regions of fundamental functional importance: the anti-codon, which is responsible for specific mRNA codon recognition, and the 3' end, to which the tRNAs corresponding amino acid is attached (by aminoacyl-tRNA synthetases). tRNAs cope with the degeneracy of the genetic code in two manners: having more than one tRNA (with a specific anti-codon) for a particular amino acid; and 'wobble' base-pairing, i.e. permitting non-standard base-pairing at the 3rd anti-codon position.
Source: Rfam by way of RNAcentral
UGGCAGAGUGGUUAAGCAUUUGACUGCUAAUCAAAAGCUUGGCGGUUCGAACCCACC